GGCUUUUUUGUGUGCUUGUUGUCAACAGGAUGACUCUGAUCAAUACUACUGCAGAAGAAGAAAGAAAAACCCCUUAAGUAAGCUUUCUAAAGCUCGCCUGUAUUCCUAAUUACACACAGCUUUCCUUGCAGUUCAUACCUAGCCUGCCAGUUCCUGGUGACCAAAAUGUACCUAUCAUUCAAGCACAUAUCCCCUCCCAGAACAGCUCAGAAGGCUCUUGGGAUGCUGCUUUGAAGAAUCUGCAUGAUUUUUGAAGUUUUCCAUCAACAUCACCCUGUAGGUAACCCACCCUUUCCAAUAAGUUGGUCAGAAGCAGAUCAGGUCUGUAAGUAGAAGAAGCUGCAUGAAAGACAUGCAUGUUUCACUGGGAUACAUAGCACUUUCCUGUGCAGAGUAGCUGUGCAAUGAGCCAGGCUUUCAAAAGUGAAGUUAAAAAAGCAAGUAACACUUUGGGGGACAGGGUGGGACAUUUUUCUUAAGAGCAUU
RNAcentral lists this long non-coding RNA (486 nucleotides) under Cyanistes caeruleus (blue tit). RNAcentral describes it as "lncRNA (ENSCCEG00000022574.1)". Lineage: Eukaryota; Metazoa; Chordata; Aves; Passeriformes; Paridae. The record is from RNAcentral.